This 465-nucleotide ribosomal RNA is filed under the name uncultured bacterium. Its description in RNAcentral is "partial 16S ribosomal RNA". It matches the Rfam family "Bacterial small subunit ribosomal RNA", at positions 338 to 795 of the family's 1533-position model. The record is from RNAcentral.
CCUACGGGGGACAGCAGUGGGGGAUAUUGCACAAUGGGGGGAACCCUGACGCAGCGACGCCGCGUGAGGGAUGAAGGUCUUCGGAUCGUAAACCUCUGUCAGCAGGGAAGAAAGGUCACUGUGCUAGUCAGCAGUGAAUUGAUGGUACCUGCAAAGGAAGCACCGGCUAACUCCGUGCCAGCAGCCGCGGUAAUACGGAGGGUGCGAGCGGUAAUCGGAAUUACUGGGCGUAAAGCGCUCGUAGGCGGUAUGUCAAGUCAAGGGUGAAAUCCCCGCGCUCAACGUGGGAACUGCCUUUGAAACUGGCAAACGUGAGUGUGUGAGAGGAUAGUGGAAUUCCAGGUGUAGGAGUGAAAUCCGUAGAUAUCUGGAGGAACAACAGUGGCGAAGGCGACUAUCUGGCACAUAACUGACGCUGAGGAGCGAAAGCGUGGGUAGCAAACAGGAUUAGAUACCCUUGUAGUC